GCGGGAGUAGCUCAGUGGUAGAGCAUCAGCUUCCCAAGCUGAGGGUCGCGGGUUCGAUCCCCGUUUCCCGCUCAA
RNAcentral lists this transfer RNA (75 nucleotides) under Bacteroidota bacterium. RNAcentral's name for it is "Bacteroidetes bacterium (marine metagenome) tRNA-Gly". It matches the Rfam family "tRNA". From Rfam's summary of the family: Transfer RNA (tRNA) molecules are approximately 80 nucleotides in length. Their secondary structure includes four short double-helical elements and three loops (D, anti-codon, and T loops). Lineage: Bacteria; Pseudomonadati; Bacteroidota. The record is from RNAcentral.